This 562-nucleotide long non-coding RNA is filed under the name Mytilus galloprovincialis (Mediterranean mussel). The record is from RNAcentral. Lineage: Eukaryota; Metazoa; Mollusca; Bivalvia; Mytilida; Mytilidae.
UAGUAAUACAAUUCGAUAUUUAUUUUAAGAAUUACAUAUAAAUUAGUCCAACUUCAUCACAUUUCAAUCUGUGUAAAACAGCUUUACCAUAGUCAAUACAAGUUUUGUAAAUAUUUACAGCAAGCAUGGUUAUACCUUUGUCUAAAACGAUAAUCGAUAUACAUUAAUUUUCAUAGCAAAACAUGCAAAAACCAUCUUCUUUUUUUCUUUGUGUCAUUAAGAUUCUAGAUUGUUUUUAAAAGAAAACUCGAAUGAAAGAGCAUCAUCUAUCUAUUCAAAAUCUGUCAAUGAAUUCGAUGUAUCCUCGGACUUUUAACGAAACUAUUUUUACAGGAAGAGAUAUUUUAACAAACUAUGAUAAAAAUGCAUUAAUGAUUUGUUUAAAUUUGAAGCCAUGUCUGUCAUCAUGUGUUUCUUUUUUUUUUCUUGUUUUUGGAACUUUUAUUUGUCUUUUCUGUCUUGUGCAUUUCGACCGUUGUCGAUCAGUUAUAGUCGUACAGUUUUGGAUUAAAUGCGCGGUGAAUUGAUUCUUUAAAUGUAAUAUUGAAAAAUGAUUGCGAUA